Molecule: ribosomal RNA, 392 nt
Filed under: uncultured bacterium
Lineage: Bacteria
Description: partial 16S ribosomal RNA
Rfam family: Bacterial small subunit ribosomal RNA
Source: RNAcentral
AUACGUAGGUGGCAAGCGUUAUCCGGAAUUAUUGGGCGUAAAGAGGGAGCAGGCGGCAGCAAGGGUCUGUGGUGAAAGCCUGAAGCUUAACUUCAGUAAGCCAUAGAAACCAGGCAGCUAGAGUGCAGGAGAGGAUCGUGGAAUUCCAUGUGUAGCGGUGAAAUGCGUAGAAAUAUGGAGGAACACCAGUGGCGAAGGGGACGAUCUGUCCUGCAACUGACGCGCAGUCCCGAAAGCGUGGGGAGCAAAUAGGAUUGGAUACCCUAGUGGACCACGCCGUAAACGAUGAGUACUAAGUGUUGGAUGUCAAAGUUCAGUGCUGCAGUUAACACAAUAAGUACUCCGCCUGAGUAGUACGUUCGCAAGAAUGAAACUCAAAUGAAUUGACGGGG